RNAcentral lists this transfer RNA (68 nucleotides) under bovine gut metagenome. It matches the Rfam family "tRNA". Rfam says of the family: Transfer RNA (tRNA) molecules are approximately 80 nucleotides in length. Their secondary structure includes four short double-helical elements and three loops (D, anti-codon, and T loops). The record is from RNAcentral.
CAGAUAUGGUUCAAUGGUAGAAUGUCAGCUUCCCAAGCUGAAUAUGCGGGUUCGAUUCCCGUUAUCUG